RNAcentral lists this ribosomal RNA (446 nucleotides) under uncultured bacterium. RNAcentral's name for it is "bacterial SSU rRNA". It matches the Rfam family "Bacterial small subunit ribosomal RNA", at positions 328 to 792 of the family's 1533-position model. The record is from RNAcentral.
AUGCCAGACUCCUACGGGAGGCAGCAGUAGGGAAUUUUGCGCAAUGGGCGAAAGCCUGACGCAGCAACGCCGCGUGAUCGAGACGCCCUUCGGGGUGUAAAGAUCUGUCAGUGGGGACGAAACUUGACGGUACCCACAGAGGAAGCACCGGCUAACUCCGUGCCAGCAGCCGCGGUAAUACGGAGGAUGCGAGCGUUAUCCGGAUUUAUUGGGUUUAAAGGGUGCGUAGGCGGAAUGCCAAGUCAGCGGUAAAAUCGCGGGGCUCAACCUCGCUCCGCCGUUGAAACUGGCGGCCUCGAGUGGGCGAGAAGUAUGCGGAAUGCGUGGUGUAGCGGUGAAAUGCAUAGAUAUCACGCAGAACUCCGAUUGCGAAGGCAGCAUGCCGGCGCCCGACUGACGCUGAGGCACGAAAGCGUGGGUAUCGAACAGGAUUAGAUACCCCCGUA